RNAcentral lists this ribosomal RNA (429 nucleotides) under Fusobacteriota bacterium. Its description in RNAcentral is "Fusobacteria bacterium partial 16S ribosomal RNA". It matches the Rfam family "Bacterial small subunit ribosomal RNA", at positions 355 to 776 of the family's 1533-position model. Lineage: Bacteria; Fusobacteriati; Fusobacteriota. The record is from RNAcentral.
UGGGGAAUAUUGCGCAAUGGGCGAAAGCCUGACGCAGCGACGCCGCGUGAGGGAUGAAGGUUUUCGGAUCGUAAACCUCUGUCAGAAGGGAAGAAACCGCACUGUGCUAAUCAGCAGUGCCUUGACGGUACCUUCAAAGGAAGCACCGGCUAACUCCGUGCCAGCAGCCGCGGUAAUACGGAGGGUGCAAGCGUUAAUCGGAAUUACUGGGCGUAAAGCGCACGUAGGCUGCUUUGUAAGUCAGGGGUGAAAUCCCACGGCUCAACCGUGGAACUGCCUUUGAUACUGCUUAGCUUGAAUCCGGGAGAGGGUGGCGGAAUUCCAGGUGUAGGAGUGAAAUCCGUAGAUAUCUGGAGGAACAUCAGUGGCGAAGGCGGCCACCUGGACCGGUAUUGACGCUGAGGUGCGAAAGCAUGGGGAGCAAACAGG